This 73-nucleotide transfer RNA is filed under the name Dendronephthya gigantea. RNAcentral describes it as "tRNA-Tyr". It matches the Rfam family "tRNA". Rfam says of the family: Transfer RNA (tRNA) molecules are approximately 80 nucleotides in length. Their secondary structure includes four short double-helical elements and three loops (D, anti-codon, and T loops). Lineage: Eukaryota; Metazoa; Cnidaria; Anthozoa; Malacalcyonacea; Nephtheidae. The record is from RNAcentral.
CCUUCGAUAGCUCAAUUGGUAGAGCGGGGGACUGUAGAUCCCUAGGUCACUGGUUCAAAUCCGGUUCGAAGAA